UUAAGGACCCGAACUAAUUGU
RNAcentral lists this microRNA (21 nucleotides) under Prunus persica (peach). Its description in RNAcentral is "microRNA miRNA_10". The record is from RNAcentral. Lineage: Eukaryota; Viridiplantae; Streptophyta; Magnoliopsida; Rosales; Rosaceae.